AGUGAGCCUGGGUUCUCAGUCACUGGAACCUUCGUUGCUGCCACGUUUCGCGCGAGCAGGGCAUCUGUGUGCAUUUUUCAGAACUUGUCAUCAGAAUCAACCAUUUUCUGAGUGAAUUCAUUUACAAAAGGGCAAGAAAAAUGAAGAUGAACCGCCAACCCUGGCAUGUGGCAUCAAGGAACCUUUGUUGCAAUGCAUGUCCAUGGAGGCAGGUAAGAUGCGUCGACGUGCAGCCCAUCAGCUGUGCAUGCAUGAGUUCAGGACCAUCUUCAGAAUUAUUAAUCCAUCAGCUGGUGUUCAUUGCAUCCUCGAUGACCAUUUCUUUCUGCCACACAGUCCACUCAAUUGUCGCUCUGCUAAGGAGAAAUAGUCGCUCUAAUCUUGGGCCUUUUUUCUCUACAUACAAACAAGUGGUAGUUAGUCUCACAAUGUACAUAGGUAGAUGAUCAACCCUGCAGAUCGAUGCUGCUCAACUUACAAUGUCAUCGCCUCCUGCUGUCAAGAGUAAACAAAAAACAUCAUCACAAUCACAUGGCUGUAAUAAGCUAGCUAGCACUACUAAUUACCAAACGCGUGUGUCCGUCUUAACUUGGGAGUAGUAGCAUACAUAAUUUUCUUACCCAUUAGUUUACUACGUCCUUUGAUGGAGCUUGCCUAGGUCAAAGAUAUCAGCUGUCCUGCAUGGUGGAGCACUACCCGUUGCUGCUGCUCCAU
This 714-nucleotide long non-coding RNA is filed under the name Hordeum vulgare. Its description in RNAcentral is "long non-coding RNA (HVUL_LNC008319)". The record is from RNAcentral. Lineage: Eukaryota; Viridiplantae; Streptophyta; Magnoliopsida; Poales; Poaceae.